Molecule: ribosomal RNA, 269 nt
Filed under: uncultured prokaryote
Description: partial 16S ribosomal RNA
Rfam family: Bacterial small subunit ribosomal RNA
Source: RNAcentral
UACGUAGGGUGCGAGCGUCAAUCGGAAUUACUGGGCGUAAAGCGUGCGCAGGCGGUUUGCUAAGACAGGUGUGAAAUCCCCGGGCUUAACCUGGGAACUGCGCUUGUGACUGGCAGGCUAGAGUACGGUAGAGGGGGGUGGAAUUCCUGGUGUAACAGUGAAAUGCGUAGAUAUCAGGAGGAACACCAGCGGCGAAGGCGGCGCUCUGGGCCGGUACUGACACUGAGGAGCGAAAGCGUGGGUAGCAAACAGGAUUAGAUACCCUGGUA